UGGUCUUGACAUAUCUAGAAUCCUGCAGAGAUGCGGGAGUGCCUUCGGGAAUUAGAAUAC
RNAcentral lists this ribosomal RNA (60 nucleotides) under uncultured bacterium. RNAcentral describes it as "partial 16S ribosomal RNA". The record is from RNAcentral.